GCCCGAUGAUGAGACCAAGGCGAAUGCGAGCCAGUUGGCGGUGGGUGGCUUGGUGCGCUGUCUCCUGAUUGGCCAGUAAUCUUGGCAGGGCUGCGGAGAUUGGCUGUUCUGCUGUAAGGGCUGGCCGACAGUGAACAAGCUCCUCUCUCCCGGACUCUGCUUGUGAAGUAGACAAGCAGUGCUGGGGGUGGGGGCUGACAGUGUGCGUGUCUGUAGAGCGUGUGUGUGUGUUUGUCAGGAGACAGCGGCACACGCCUCGUUUUCCCACUUGAAGUCAGUUGGCCGUGAGCGACUUCUUUGGUAAUCUGAGGGUG
Molecule: small nucleolar RNA, 314 nt
Organism: Lepisosteus oculatus (spotted gar)
Lineage: Eukaryota; Metazoa; Chordata; Actinopteri; Semionotiformes; Lepisosteidae
Source: Ensembl